Molecule: RNA transcript, 2366 nt
Organism: Lotus japonicus
Lineage: Eukaryota; Viridiplantae; Streptophyta; Magnoliopsida; Fabales; Fabaceae
Exons: 4
Source: RefSeq, a predicted model, not a curated record
CAGCAUUUCUUCUUUCAAUCUCUCCUUCACUUAAAUUCUUUCAUUCAACAUCCUCUAACCAAAACUCCCUUCUCUGCGUUUACUCACUCUCCCCAAAACCCUCACUUCGUUCGUUUAUUUUGAUGAUCCCCUUUUGCUCAGAUCCACUCCCAUCAAGCUUAUGAGUUCAGCCCCUCCUCCCUCUGCAUCUCCAGUUUGGUCUCGCCAUUCAAGCUGUCUCGGCGCCUGCGAGUUUGCUGUUUUCGACAACCAUGCUUACGGCGACAGCAUCCCCGAUUUUGUUACAGAGUGGCUGCGCCUCAACCCAGCGUCUUCUGUGAUUAAAUCUUCUAUUUCUCCGUUUAUUUCCAGCUUCAAGAUCAAAACAAAACUUGAAAUGGGAUUUCAUUCUUUUGAUAAUUGAGUUCAUCCCUAAUUUUUUAACAGCUUCAAGGCUGCAAAAUGCAAUCAUGUCAUCGCUAUCAUGGUCCUUCAGAGCUCUACUUCAAACCCUAAUUUCUCCGUUAUAACGCUCAGCUCAAAACCAGAUGCAAAAGUGAUUGGGCUCAGUUUCAAUCUCACCUAACCAAUGCUAAUAAGGUGUAUCUUGAAGGACUGAAACGAAUUGGGAAGGGUUGAUGUGUGCUGAUAAUAAUUUAAACAGGCUGAAGAAUUACCUGCAGCUAUGGCAGCAAGUAAGUGACAACUUGCUCAAACUAAUGAUGAUGUGGUGAGCAUUUGAUUGCUAUUUUUAUUAAUUGAUUACUAUUAGUUUGAAGGAUUUUUUUUCUUUGUUUUGUUUCAAUGUAUUCUCUGUGUAACCUAUUAAUAUAUGCAAGAAAUGAUAGCAAAAAAUUCAAAAUCAGUAUGGUUUAGUUAUAUCUUAUGAAUUUCACUUCAUGAUGGUUUUAUGCAGUUGAUGGAGCGAAUAAUUCAUGAUGUUGAUUAGCACUAAUUUUUUGUUCUUCCUUUUCGAUUUUUCCCUCAAAUUGAAUUCGCAAGGGCUGUUGGAAUUUCAGGCGCAUGCUUUCAAAGCUGCCAACAUACAUGGCAUUCAUUUAAUUAUUGUUGUUGAUAUUCUUAGUUGAAGCUGAUAAUUGUCAAACUUGACGGCAAAUUGCCAAUUGAGCUUUUUCUAUUUUUCCUAUAUAUGUUUUUGUAUUAGUUUUAUCCAUAAUCUUUUCAUUCCAACAAAGUGUCUUUUUUAUCCUCUAGGCUGUAUUCUUUCCUUGAGUAUAGUAUUAAGUUUCUUUGAACUGUGAGUAUAACAUGGUUACCAAUCAUAUUUUCAUAAGCUAUAUGGGACUUACCAAUCAUAUGUGACUAAACUAUGUUAUUUUUUUAUUUCUUCUUUGUGUAUGAUGACUUUGGCUAUGAUCCUCUUCUUCUGUUUGAUUUCUCUGCUGAAACUUGCAAGCACGAGAAAAAGAGAGGGGUGAUCGAUAGAGUUCAUCACCAUUCGAAAAGAAGCAAUUACAUUUGGAGUCGCUGUCAAGGAAGGGGCUAUUUGUGGGGAAAUUUUAGAAGGCAUAGAUAUUACUCAGUUCUGCGUUGUUAGUUUUAAAUUUUCAUUUCAAAGUAAAAUUUAGUAAAUAUAUAGUGGUAUUGGAAUCAGACACGUUCUUGAUAAUAGGAAAAUGAAGUUGCUUUCUUCUCUUAUUUUUUUAGGCAUUAUGUUUCUAAGUCUCAGUAUUUUAUCUACAGGAUGCUUUCAAUGUACAAUAUACAUGGAUGUGUUUGAAGAUAUUGAUGGAAACUUUCGUACCAAGCUAUCCACAAUAGUUUUCCAGAAUAUGCCAAAAGUCUUCUGUGGGGAACACACGAGUUGAAUAUGAAGUUCCUAGGAAAAAGUUUACUGCUAGAUACUGUUUCAUGUUAGCUGCCUAUUAGCCUAAAAACUUGCUGUUAUCUCUUAAGUUUUCUUGCUCUGAUGACAUAAGGACGCGUCUCUGAUUUCUGAAAUUGUGUUCCGCCUUAUGAUCCUCAUUUCUGAUUCAUGCUUAUUUUGAAUUUAUAUAGAAGGUUAUAGCUGGAUAAGAUCCUCAUAUCUGGUUCAUGCUUAUUUAGAAUUGAAAUAGAAUGAUAUAGCUGGAUAAUAGUGUUGAUGGGUGGUGAUAUGAAAAGUGGUUCUCUAGAGAGGUAGCGUGAAAGAGAAGGUGACUAGAUGGAGGUUAUGGAGGGUUGGAUUGUGGUGUACCCUCCUCCCUUGAAUGAUUCUCUUCUUUAUAACAUGUAAUAGGGGGAGGGGGCAAAAAUAGAGAGGAGUUUUUUGUUUUUUUUUUUUUGCAUCAUCACUCUCUUCACCACCAACGAACUCAUUUGUGUUCAUGUCAGGUGUACACGUUCCACUAAGAAAAUGUGAUUGCUAUAAAUAAGUUUGUACUGAA